UACGGAGGAUGCGAGCGUUAUCCGGAUUUAUUGGGUUUAAAGGGUGCGUAGGCGGACGCUUAAGUCAGCGGUAAAAUUGCGGGGCUCAACCUCGUCGAGCCGUUGAAACUGGGUGUCUUGAGUGGGCGAGAAGUACGCGGAAUGCGCGGUGUAGCGGUGAAAUGCAUAGAUAUCACGCAGAACUCCGAUUGCGAAGGCAGCGUACCGGCGCCCAACUGACGCUGAAGCACGAAGGCGUGGGUAUCGAACAGG
Molecule: ribosomal RNA, 252 nt
Filed under: uncultured bacterium
Lineage: Bacteria
Description: partial 16S ribosomal RNA
Rfam family: Bacterial small subunit ribosomal RNA
Source: RNAcentral